GUGGGGAAUCUUGCGCAAUGGGCGAAAGCCUGACGCAGCCAUGCCGCGUGAAUGAUGAAGGUCUUAGGAUUGUAAAAUUCUUUCACCGGGGACGAUAAUGACGGUACCCGGAGAAGAAGCCCCGGCUAACUUCGUGCCAGCAGCCGCGGUAAUACGAAGGGGGCUAGCGUUGCUCGGAAUUACUGGGCGUAAAGGGCGCGUAGGCGGACAGUUUAGUCAGAGGUGAAAGCCCAGGGCUCAACCUUGGAAUUGCCUUUGAUACUGGCUGUCUUGAGUACGGGAGAGGUGAGUGGAACUCCGAGUGUAGAGGUGAAAUUCGUAGAUAUUCGGAAGAACACCAGUGGCGAAGGCGACUCACUGGCCCGUUACUGACGCUGAGGCGCGAAAGCGUGGGGGGCAAACAGGAUUAGAAACCCUGGUAGUCC
This 425-nucleotide ribosomal RNA is filed under the name uncultured bacterium. RNAcentral's name for it is "partial 16S ribosomal RNA". It matches the Rfam family "Bacterial small subunit ribosomal RNA", at positions 354 to 796 of the family's 1533-position model. The record is from RNAcentral.